GUGCUUGCUUUGGCAGCACAUGUCCUGAAGUUGGAAUGAUACUGAGAUCAGCACGGCUCUUGGGCAAGGAUGGCAUGCAGAUUCUCGAAGUGUUCCAUAUUUUU
This is a small nuclear RNA of Apodemus sylvaticus (European woodmouse), 104 nucleotides long. NCBI's taxonomy places the organism in Eukaryota, Metazoa, Chordata, Mammalia, Rodentia, Muridae. The record is from RefSeq and is a predicted model, not a curated record.